Molecule: ribosomal RNA, 253 nt
Filed under: uncultured bacterium
Lineage: Bacteria
Description: partial 16S ribosomal RNA
Rfam family: Bacterial small subunit ribosomal RNA
Source: RNAcentral
UACGUAGGGGGCAAGCGUUGUCCGGAAUUAUUGGGCGUAAAGCGCGUGUAGGCGGCUCGGUAAGUCUGCUGUGAAAGUCCAAGGCUCAACCUUGGAAAGCCGGUGGAUACUGUCGAGCUCGAGUCCGGAAGAGGCGAGUGGAAUUCCUGGUGUAGCGGUGAAAUGCGCAGAUAUCAGGAGGAACACCAGCGGCGAAGGCGGCGCUCUGGGCCGGAACUGACGCUGAGGAGCGAAAGCGUGGGUAGCAAACAGG